This 484-nucleotide ribosomal RNA is filed under the name uncultured bacterium. RNAcentral's name for it is "bacterial SSU rRNA". It matches the Rfam family "Bacterial small subunit ribosomal RNA", at positions 8 to 518 of the family's 1533-position model. The record is from RNAcentral.
AGAGUUUGAUUCUGGCUCAGGAUGAACGCUGGCGGCGUGCCUAACACAUGCAAGUCGAGCGAUUCACUUCGGUGAAGAGCGGCGGACGGGUGAGUAACGCGUGGGUAACCUGCCUCAUACACAUGGAUAACAUACCGAAAGGUAUGCUAAUACAGGAUGAUAUAAGAGAUUCGCAUGGAUUUCUUAUCAAAGCUCCGGCGGUAUGAGAUGGACCCGCGUCUGAUUAGCUAGUUGGUAAGGUAAUGGCUUACCAAGGCGACGAUCAGUAGCCGACCUGAGAGGGUGAUCGGCCACAUUGGAACUGAGACACGGUCCAAACUCCUACGGGAGGCAGCAGUGGGGAAUAUUGCACAAUGGGCGAAAGCCUGAUGCCAGCAACGCCGCGUGAGUGAUGAAGGCCUUCGGGUCGUAAAACUCUGUCCUCAAGGAAGAUAAUGACGGUACUUGAGGAGGAAGCCCCGGCUAACUACGUGCCAGCAGCCGC